RNAcentral lists this long non-coding RNA (1315 nucleotides) under Cricetulus griseus (Chinese hamster). RNAcentral's name for it is "lncRNA (ENSCGRG00015039513.1)". Lineage: Eukaryota; Metazoa; Chordata; Mammalia; Rodentia; Cricetidae. The record is from RNAcentral.
AAACAGGCUGUCAUCCAGAAAUCCCAGUUUGCUUCAGCUAGCUAAAAGGAGCACUGUGAAUUCUACCAACUGGAGACAGAGUAUUCAAAUAUAUGAACCGGAUGGCGGACAAGCUCAUUCAAAUGGCCACAGGUGGGAAGGAAGCUUUAUCAAGUUGAAAGGAAUACUUUUAUUUAGAAGCAUGUGGAUUCACUUUUCUUACUUCAAAUUGAUCCUUGACCUCUUGAGGCCAGAUCUAAUUUCAGUGUAACCAGGAGCCUGACCCUGUCAUAGAAGCUAACCCUUCUUUUGGAGCACAAAUGACCAAUGAGAUGAUCUCCAUAAAGUCAUCUGCCUCCAGCUUGACAGCCAUGCUCAAGCCAGGGGGCAAAAAAAUGCCACAGCCUUAAAAUAUCUUCACUCAUGAAUUAACAAGAAGAUACAACACACAGAUGAAAAGGACUAAGUUUUUAAGGAGCCAACAGGUAAACAAAAUCAAACAAUCUUAUUUCACAAAGGGAAAUCAAUGUUCUUGGAUAUCAGCCUUCCCAGAAAAAAAAAUACAAUUCAUCAAUGAAGUUAUUAAAUUAUACAUUGACUUAUCAUUUUAAAAGGUGGAAAUUUAAGGACAAGAAGUAUUUCAAGACAGAAUUAAUCCUCAUUUCAACAUACUUAGACAAAACCAAAACUGAACCAGCCAGAACAUUGCAUGAAUUCCGGGAUUAGGAGGAAUGCUGCUGUUUGCAGAGAUGGGCAUGUCCACAGUAUAUACACCCUCAAAGCCAUAAUGGAUAGCAGCAUUGGCACCAAUUCCUUGAAAAGUACCAGUGUUACAUCCUCGACCUCAUAUUGGUUGAGAGAGGAAGUCAGUUUGCACUGAUUACUUCUCCAUGCACUUCUGAUAUUUGCACAGUUGCUUCCAUUCAGGGUAAUGAAGUGUUUUGUUAUUUGCACAGAUGAUGCCACCAGUGUUGAGAUCACAAGAAGCAGCUUCUUGCAGGCAUCCAAAAGGAUUACAUGAGAAUUCUCAAGAUAAUGAGUUCUCUUUUUUUUUCUGGUUAACAAAAGUUACUUAAUUAAAGAAAUGAAUUUGUUUCUGAACCAAACUGUAGAAUUAUAAAGAAAACAUCAUUGUUGUCAAAUGAAUGAGAAUGAGAUAAAAAAGGUUUUUUUAUAUCAUUAAUAUUAAGAAGUUGAACACGGUAAACUGUGUAUUAAACAGUGAUAUUUAAUUCUGUUUGUUCUGUUAAUUCAAAAAGUCAUUUGUAAUUUGUAUUUGACAUGUAACAAUUUUAUAAUCAUUUCUCUCUAUGUUUCCUGAGAAAAUGUAUCAGAC